GUGCUCACUUUGGCAGCACAUAUACUAAAAUUGGAACGAUACAGAGAUUAGCAUGGCCUCUGUGCAAGGAUGACAUGCAAAUUCAUGAUGUGUUUCAUAUUUUU
Small nuclear RNA from Pteropus vampyrus (large flying fox), 104 nucleotides. The record is from Ensembl. Lineage: Eukaryota; Metazoa; Chordata; Mammalia; Chiroptera; Pteropodidae.